Molecule: long non-coding RNA, 1191 nt
Organism: Girardinichthys multiradiatus
Lineage: Eukaryota; Metazoa; Chordata; Actinopteri; Cyprinodontiformes; Goodeidae
Exons: 2
Source: RefSeq, a predicted model, not a curated record
GACUCACUGGGCUUUUCUGCCUCAUCCUUCAGCUCAGCCUGAACAACAUGGACACAGAACAACAAAUACAAGAGGUUAAUGGAAGACCCAAUGUUAUUCAGUAUGCUUGGACGAAGGCUUCUGGGCAUCUACGGCAACCCCAGCCUGUCACAGCAGCUUGCAGGGGGCAUUCCUCACAAUUUUCCAACUAUGCUUGCUCAGGAUGAGGGAUUGCUGCAAGGUCAAUGACCCAAUGCUCAAUUUGCUUGUCUUGAAUAUAUAAUUAGGACUGAAUUGGACUGUAAACAACUGGAUCUGAAUCCAACUAUAUGAUGAUUCAUUAGGAAAGAACAGUAUAACUUCACUGAAUUUGAUUCUAUAUGACUGGGCAUUAAGAGAAACCUGUUUCCCUUGUAAAAUACCAAUUUACAUUGCUGUAAAUUUAUUAAUCUGUAGUCUCACAGCAUAAGGUCCUAGGUCAUAUUUAGCCAAAUAUGACUUCUGUUAUGAGGCUAGCCAAAUGAAAAAGACUACAUUGCUUUUAAAUGCAGUCAUGUUUAAACCUUGUGGAUUAUUAGUUCAAAUCUCACCUCCAGUGAUGAGGUCAAAGUGCCUGAAACUGGUUAAUGAAGGAUAACGAAGCAGACAGACAGCGAGCUAGCCCGCAGACACCGCGAGCACCCUGGAAAACACAUUACUUCCACCUGCAGCUCCUUCUAUAGGCAGGAGACGGCAACUAAAUGCAGAUGAGUGGAAAAAUAAGCUUCACCUGCCACAUGGGGUAGAGAGCACUUACGAAAGGAAAAUUAAUGUUUGCCAAGAUCUAUUUUACAUCUUAACAGAUUUAAACAGUGUAUCGAUUUCCCUGAUAAAACAUAGUGAAUGAUACAGACUGCAGAUGUAAUGACUUGAUUUCAACCUCUUCUUUAAAGAAAACAGAAAAGAAAAGUGUGUGGUGAAAGCUCCACCCCAACCCCCCACCAACAGUUUGUCCUGUACAGAUGUGACCAGAUAUGGGUUGUUCUACGGCCGGUGUUAAUAUUUUAAACUGACCAAUACAUAAGCCUAAUUAUUUUAUUUCAGUUUGGCAGAUAUAAUUGCCACUUUUUCUAUGGGCAUCAAACAUGUGUUCCACCAGGAUUUAUCCAUACCAGUUUCUAGCAUUAUACUUUGUCUUUCUGGAGAUGACUUGAUAAAAUGUUUCCAAAUUUU